UUUCGCACUAUCCCGUCAGUACGACGACGCUUACCAACGAAGGAUGCCAUUUAAUGUGACGAAAUAAGUGCUCCUCAAGUAGGCUAGGCCUACAUUAAUCAGCCUACGUUGACAGGAACAAUGGACUCCAAAUCCAACAAGAAGUCUAAGAAGAAAAAAAUUCAAAGUGGAGGGUUCCUUUUAUCAACUCGAACUGAAUCCAAUAAAGUCGCACAUGUGGAAACCAAGAGAAAGAGUGUUAUCCCCUUCAGCAAGACCUACAAGAAAAUCCUUCCUCCAGUCAAGCGUCAUGUGCCAAGGUAUUUGCCACCCAUUGAACACUCAAGAAACCUUUCCAAAAAAGGUGGCAAGAAUAUUCGUUUGGCAUCAGAUGGCCCUGCUACUGUGAAAAAGUUUGUAAAGCAGCCAUCAUAUGAUGAGGCCCACAGUGAAGUGGCCAGGGACUACUUAUCUCCACAGCUUAUUAGAAAGUUCCCAGCCGAGUCAUUCGCCUUUCUGGAGCAACUCUCUCAAAUGCAGAGAAUAAAUCUGAAGAAGAUUCUAAAGAUGAAGGACAUCACCAACCUGGAGCUCCUUCAAAUGUCCAAAAAGAUCAUUGAUUGGGUAAUUAUUGCAUCCAGAGAUGUGGUUCUCCCAGCUGUGGACUUGUACCAGGCCAUCACAAAUGACCUGUACAAAAGGUACACCCAGAAGGACCUCCAUCAUCAGUGGCUAGGCCUAGGGGAUGGCUGUAUGUCCAGUGCAGUGAAUCAUAUGGUAGUGGUCAAUGCCGCUAACAUAUUUAAUGCCCUAGUCUGCAUGACAAGGACCAACAGGAAGGAACCAGAAGACUCAGAUGAGAGCGGCCUCGCCUACUCUGGACAAUCUACACCGUGUGACCCACCACUUGCUAGCCACAGGAAAAGCAAUCUGCUCUUCUGUAGCCGAAUUCGUGUCAACGCUAGAGAGCUGAUCCGUCACAUUUACCAGAUGCUCCUCGAUUCUCGCUUGGGAAGCAUGUACUUAUCCCAAAGCUGGUGGACAAUGAUGCCUCCAGAUUUGGCUGCCAAAAGGAACCUUGAGUUUCUUUCUGACUUGCUUUUCAACUUCAUUGUAUACGCAGUGAAAAAUCUCCUCGAGUCAUUCUUAGGAUUGCCCCACAAGAUACCAUUCAAUAGCUCAAUGGAGCGGAGCCUUGAGAGCAGGCCAGCUGUCUCCAACACCAUGUCAGAGGAGGAGGAGGAGGCACUUGAGGCCCUGUCUGAAGUGUUGAUCAGUAGGGUGGCUGACAUGCUCUCUAGCACCUCUGAAACUCAGCAGAGUGCCAAUAACGCCAUUGGAAAAGUUCUGUAAAUGGGAAACAAACAUAGUGGCUCGGACUGAGCCAUAAACAAUCCUAGCCAAUCAACAGGGUGCUUCGGGAGCAUGGAAAGGAGGGCUGUAGUUUCAUUGGCUGCUGUGUUCAUAAUAUCAACAACAUCGCAGACUGCAUCUUUAA
This is a long non-coding RNA of Clupea harengus (Atlantic herring), 1477 nucleotides long. Lineage: Eukaryota; Metazoa; Chordata; Actinopteri; Clupeiformes; Clupeidae. The record is from Ensembl.